This 447-nucleotide ribosomal RNA is filed under the name uncultured bacterium. Its description in RNAcentral is "bacterial SSU rRNA". It matches the Rfam family "Bacterial small subunit ribosomal RNA", at positions 355 to 825 of the family's 1533-position model. The record is from RNAcentral.
UGGGGAAUUUUGGGCAAUGGGGGAAACCCUGACCCAGCAACGCCGCGUGAAGGAUGAAGUAUUUCGGUAUGUAAACUUCGAAAGAAUAGGAAGAAUAAAUGACGGUACUAUUUAUAAGGUCCGGCUAACUACGUGCCAGCAGCCGCGGUAAUACGUAGGGACCAAGCGUUGUUCGGAUUUACUGGGCGUAAAGGGCGCGUAGGCGGCAUGACAAGUCACUUGUGAAAUCUCUGGGCUUAACCCAGAACGGCCAAGUGAUACUGUCGCGCUAGAGUGCAGAAGGGGCAAUCGGAAUUCUUGGUGUAGCGGUGAAAUGCGUAGAUAUCAAGAGGAACACCUGAGGUGAAGACGGGUUGCUGGGCUGACACUGACGCUGAGGCGCGAAAGCCAGGGGAGCAAACGGGAUUAGAUACCCUGGUAGUCCCUGAGCGGGCUGGCAAGGCGCAU